CUCGGGGCUGGGACGUGCUUUCUGCCUCUGCCUCACUCAGCAAACGCUUGGUCACUCAGCAGCUUGCUCUCGGCAUGCACCUGGCAUAUCUCAUCCUCACCGUCUUCCUGGGCCAGCUCCUGGGCACCAGGGGGCAGGACACGGUCACCCAGGAAGAUGGACCAGUCACGGUGAAGCAGGGACAGCCCUUCCACACCACCUGCAAAUACCACGGCAGUACUUUUAAUGCCUUGCUCUGGUACCAGCUGAGGAAAGGCCAAGCCCCACAGCUCAUCUCCUAUCAAGCAGGGAGUGGCCCCAGGCCCAGUGGCCGAAUCACCACAUACCUGAACACCACAAGCAAAUCCAGUGUCCUGAAGCUGGAGGAAGUGGAGCUCUCUGACAGUGCCUUGUACCUCUGUGCUGUGCAAGACACCCUGGUGCAGAGAGCUUCCUCAGCUGUGCAACAACCCAGGGCAGGGAGGGGAUGAGUCAGUGCAAGGCUGAGCUUGGGGAAGGACCCUGAUGGCACCCCAGUGCUCACCAGAAUUUGCAUCCAAUUGUGUGGUCAAUGGUUUUCAUGAUGUCCAUCCUGACACUACCCUUGGGAAACUAUUUUGGACUACUUGGACUCAUUUCCAUCCUAUUGUGCUGUCUGUAAGUAAAGA
Molecule: non-coding RNA, 647 nt
Organism: Serinus canaria (Common canary)
Lineage: Eukaryota; Metazoa; Chordata; Aves; Passeriformes; Fringillidae
Source: the annotation of a RefSeq genome assembly